This 272-nucleotide ribosomal RNA is filed under the name uncultured bacterium. Its description in RNAcentral is "partial 16S ribosomal RNA". It matches the Rfam family "Bacterial small subunit ribosomal RNA", at positions 793 to 1055 of the family's 1533-position model. The record is from RNAcentral.
GUCCUAGCCGUAAACGAUGCACAUUAGACGUGAGGGGUAUCGACCCCCUUCGUGUCGACGCAAACGCAUUAAAUGUGCCGCCUGGGGAGUACGGCCGCAAGGUUGAAACUCAAAGGAAUUGACGGGGGCCCCGCACAAGCGGUGGAGCAUGUGGUUUAAUUCGACGCAACGCGAAGAACCUUACCUGGGCUUGAACUGUUGGUAGUAGAAGCGAUGAAAGUCGCGACGAACCGUCAAGUCGGUUGCCAAUAGAGGUGCUGCAUGGCUGUCGU